RNAcentral lists this ribosomal RNA (444 nucleotides) under uncultured bacterium. RNAcentral describes it as "bacterial SSU rRNA". It matches the Rfam family "Bacterial small subunit ribosomal RNA", at positions 112 to 572 of the family's 1533-position model. The record is from RNAcentral.
AACACGUGAGUAAACUGCCUCAAAGAGGGGGAUAGCCUUCCGAAAGGAAGAUUAAUACCGCAUAACAUACAGAGAUCACAUGUUCUCUGUAUCACAGGAGCAAUCCGCUUUGAGAUGGACUCGCGGCGCAUUAGCUAGUUGGUAGGGUAACGGCCUACCAAGGCGACGAUGCGUAGCCGACCUGAGAGGGUGAUCGGCCACAUUGGGACUGAGACACGGCCCAGACUCCUACGGGAGGCAGCAGUGGGGAAUAUUGCGCAAUGGGCGAAAGCCUGACGCAGCAACGCCGCGUGGGUGAUGACGGUCUUCGGAUUGUAAAACCCUGUCUUCAGGGACCAUAAUGACGGUACCUGAGGAGGAAGCCACGGCUAACUACGUGCCAGCAGCCGCGGUAAUACGUAGGUGGCAAGCGUUGUCCGGAUUUACUGGGCGUAAAGGGUGCGU